GAUGAACGCUGGCGGCGUGCCUAAUACAUGCAAGUCGAGCGAACAGACGAGGAGCUUGCUCCUCUGACGUUAGCGGCGGACGGGUGAGUAACACGUGGAUAACCUACCUAUAAGACUGGGAUAACUUCGGGAAACCGGAGCUAAUACCGGAUAAUAUAUUGAACCGCAUGGUUCAAUAGUGAAAGACGGUUUUGCUGUCACUUAUAGAUGGAUCCGCGCCGCAUUAGCUAGUUGGUAAGGUAACGGUUUACCAAGGCAACGAUGCGUAGCCGACCUGAGAGGGUGAUCGGCCACACUGGAACUGAGACACGGUCCAGACUCCUACGGGAGGCAGCAGUAGGGAAUCUUCCGCAAAGGGCGAAAGCCUGACGGAGCAACGCCGCGUGAGUGAUGAAGGUCUUCGGAUCGUAAAACUCUGUUAUUAGGGAAGAACAAAUGUGUAAGUAACUAUGCACGUCUUGACGGUACCUAAUCAGAAAGCCACGGCUAACUACGUG
RNAcentral lists this ribosomal RNA (497 nucleotides) under uncultured bacterium. RNAcentral's name for it is "partial 16S ribosomal RNA". It matches the Rfam family "Bacterial small subunit ribosomal RNA", at positions 28 to 507 of the family's 1533-position model. The record is from RNAcentral.